AGUGAACGCUGGCGGUAGGCCUAACACAUGCAAGUCGAACGGCAGCACAGUAAGAGCUUGCUCUUACGGGUGGCGAGUGGCGGACGGGUGAGGAAUACAUCGGAAUCUACUUUUUCGUGGGGGAUAACGUAGGGAAACUUACGCUAAUACCGCAUACGACCUACGGGUGAAAGCAGGGGAUCUUCGGACCUUGCGCGAUUGAAUGAGCCGAUGUCGGAUUAGCUAGUUGGCGGGGUAAAGGCCCACCAAGGCGACGAUCCGUAGCUGGUCUGAGAGGAUGAUCCGCCACACUGGAGCUGAGACCCGGUCCAGACUCCUACGGUGGGCAGCAGUGGGGAAUAUUGCACUAUGGGCGCAAGCCUGAUCCAGCCAUACCGCGUGAGUGAAGAAGGCCUUCGGGUUGUAAAGCCCUUUUGUUGUGAAAGAAAAGCAGCAGGUUAAUACCCCGCUGUUCUGACGGUACCCAAAGAAUAAGCACCGGCUAACUUCGUG
This 492-nucleotide ribosomal RNA is filed under the name uncultured bacterium. RNAcentral describes it as "partial 16S ribosomal RNA". It matches the Rfam family "Bacterial small subunit ribosomal RNA", at positions 29 to 507 of the family's 1533-position model. The record is from RNAcentral.